This 262-nucleotide ribosomal RNA is filed under the name uncultured bacterium. RNAcentral describes it as "partial 16S ribosomal RNA". It matches the Rfam family "Bacterial small subunit ribosomal RNA", at positions 355 to 609 of the family's 1533-position model. The record is from RNAcentral.
UAGGGAAUCUUCCACAAUGGACGCAAGUCUGAUGGAGCAACGCCGCGUGAGUGAAGAAGGCUUUCGGGUCGUAAAACUCUGUUGUUGGAGAAGAAUGGUCGGCAGAGUAACUGUUGUCGGCGUGACGGUAUCCAACCAGAAAGCCACGGCUAACUACGUGCCAGCAGCCGCGGUAAUACGUAGGUGGCAAGCGUUAUCCGGAUUUAUUGGGCGUAAAGCGAGCGCAGGCGGUUUUUAAGGUCUGAUGUGAAAGCCCUCGGCU